AUUCCAGCUCCAAUAGCGUAUAUUAAAGUUGUUGCGGUUAAAAAGCUCGUAGUUGGAUUUCUGUCGAAAACAACCGGUCCGCUCUAUGAGCGUGUAUCUGGUCUGGUUUUGGCAUCCUCGUGGGGAACAGCUCUGUGCUUGAUUGCAUGGACUGGUAUUCACGACUUUUACUUUGAGGAAAUUAGAGUGUUCACGGCAGGCAAGCGCCUUGAAUACAUUAGCAUGGAAUAAUAAUAUAGGACUUUGGUUUUAUUUUGUUGGUUUCUAGAACUAAAGUAAUGAUUAAUAGGGAUAAUUGGGGGCAUUUGUAUUAACGCGUCAGAGGUGGAAUUCUUGGAUUGCGUUACGACAAACUACUGCGAAAGCAUUUGCCAAGGAUGUUUUCAUUG
Molecule: ribosomal RNA, 389 nt
Filed under: Syndiniales sp.
Lineage: Eukaryota; Dinophyceae; Syndiniales
Description: partial small subunit ribosomal RNA
Rfam family: Eukaryotic small subunit ribosomal RNA
Source: RNAcentral